This 445-nucleotide ribosomal RNA is filed under the name uncultured bacterium. Its description in RNAcentral is "partial 16S ribosomal RNA". It matches the Rfam family "Bacterial small subunit ribosomal RNA", at positions 354 to 796 of the family's 1533-position model. The record is from RNAcentral.
GUAGGGAAUAUUGGGCAAUGGAGGCAACUCUGACCCAGCCAUGCCGCGUGCAGGAUGACGGCCCUCUGGGUUGUAAACUGCUUUUAUACGGGAAGAAAAAAUACUACGUGUAGUAUACUGACGGUACCGUAAGAAUAAGGAUCGGCUAACUCCGUGCCAGCAGCCGCGGUAAUACGGAGGAUCCAAGCGUUGUCCGGACUUAUUGGGUUUAAAGGGUGCGUAGGCGGAUCUUUAAGUCAGUGGUGAAAGCCUGCAGCUUAACUGGAGAAUUUGCAUUGAAACUGAAGAUUUUGAAUGUGGUUAAAGUAGGCGGAAUGUAUCAUGUAGCGGUGAAAUGCUUAGAUAUGAUACAGAACACCGAUAGCGAAGGCAGCUUGCUGAACCAUUAUUGACGCUGAGGCACGAAAGCGUGGGGAGCGAACAGGAUUAGAUACCCGAGUAGUCC